AAUGAACGUUGGCGGCGUGGAUUAGGCAUGCAAGUCGCGCGAGAAAUUUCCUUCGGGAGAUGGACAGCGGCGAAAGGGAGAGGAAUACGUAGAAAUCUGCCCUCGAGCCUGGGAUAGCGGCGGGAAACUGCCGGUAAUACCAGAUAACGUCUUCGGACCAAAGGUGUGAUUCCGCUUGAGGAUGAGUCUACGUCCUAUUAGCUAGUUGGUGGGGUAAUGGCCUACCAAGGCAACGAUGGGUAGCGGGUGUGAGAGCACGAUCCGCCUCACUGGGACUGAGACACUGCCCAGACACCUACGGGUGCUGCAGUCGAGAAUCUUCGGCAAUGGGGGAAACCCUGACCGAGCGACGCCGCGUGCGGGAUGAAGGCCCUCGGGUUGUAAACCGCUGUCGUAAGGGAACAAAUCUAUGAGGGUACUCCCUUGUAGUUGAGUGAUCUUA
Molecule: ribosomal RNA, 442 nt
Filed under: uncultured bacterium
Lineage: Bacteria
Description: bacterial SSU rRNA
Rfam family: Bacterial small subunit ribosomal RNA
Source: RNAcentral